This 343-nucleotide unclassified non-coding RNA is filed under the name soil metagenome. RNAcentral's name for it is "partial contains 5.8S ribosomal RNA, internal transcribed spacer 2, and large subunit ribosomal RNA". The stretch from base 1 to 120 matches the Rfam family "5.8S ribosomal RNA", at positions 35 to 154 of the family's 154-position model. The record is from RNAcentral.
GAUGAAGAACGUAGCGAAAUGCGAUAAGUAAUGUGAAUUGCAGAAUUCAGUGAAUCAUCGAAUCUUUGAACGCACAUUGCGCCCGCUAGUAUUCUGGCGGGCAUGCCUGUCCGAGCGUCAUUUCAACCCUCAAGCCCCCGGGCUUGGUGUUGGGGAUCGGCAAGCCUCCGCGCCCGCCGUCCCCUAAAUCUAGUGGCGGUCUCGCUGUAGCUUCCUCUGCGUAGUAGCACACCUCGCACUGGGAAACAGCGCGGCCACGCCGUUAAACCCCCAACUUCUGAACGUUUGACCUCGGAUCAGGUAGGAAUACCCGCUGAACUUAAGCAUAUCAAUAAGCGGAGGA